Molecule: ribosomal RNA, 377 nt
Filed under: uncultured organism
Description: partial 16S ribosomal RNA
Rfam family: Bacterial small subunit ribosomal RNA
Source: RNAcentral
GUAGGUGGCGAGCGUUGUCCGGGAUUUACUGGGGCGUAAAGGGGCGUGCAGGGCGGGUUCGUUAAGUUCGAGGUGAAAGCUCCCGGCUCAACUGGGAGAGGUCCCCCGGAUACUGGCGGACUUGAGGGAGGUAGAGGAAAGUGGAAUUCCCGGUGUAGUGGUGAUAUGCGUAGAUAUCGGGAGGAACACCAGUGGCGAAGGCGGCUUUCUGGGCCUUACCUGACGCUGAGACGCGAAAGCGUGGGGAGCGAACCGGAUUAGAUACCCGGGUAGUCCACGCCGUAAACGAUGGACACUAGGUGUGGGGGGUAUCGACCCCCUCCGUGCCGAAGCUAACGCAGUAAGUGUCCCGCCUGGGGAGUACGGCCGCAAGGCUA